Molecule: transfer RNA, 73 nt
Filed under: Schistocerca americana (American grasshopper)
Lineage: Eukaryota; Metazoa; Arthropoda; Insecta; Orthoptera; Acrididae
Description: tRNA-Met
Rfam family: tRNA
About the family: Transfer RNA (tRNA) molecules are approximately 80 nucleotides in length. Their secondary structure includes four short double-helical elements and three loops (D, anti-codon, and T loops). Further hydrogen bonds mediate the characteristic L-shaped molecular structure. tRNAs have two regions of fundamental functional importance: the anti-codon, which is responsible for specific mRNA codon recognition, and the 3' end, to which the tRNAs corresponding amino acid is attached (by aminoacyl-tRNA synthetases). tRNAs cope with the degeneracy of the genetic code in two manners: having more than one tRNA (with a specific anti-codon) for a particular amino acid; and 'wobble' base-pairing, i.e. permitting non-standard base-pairing at the 3rd anti-codon position.
Source: RNAcentral
GCCUCGGUAGCGCAGUAGGCAGCGCGUAAGUCUCAUAAUCUUAAGGUCGUCAGUUCGAUCCUCACCCGGGGCG